This 168-nucleotide small nucleolar RNA is filed under the name Trifolium pratense (red clover). RNAcentral's name for it is "snoRNA snoZ112". It matches the Rfam family "Small nucleolar RNA Z112". Rfam says of the family: Z112 is a member of the C/D class of snoRNA which contain the C (UGAUGA) and D (CUGA) box motifs. Most of the members of the box C/D family function in directing site-specific 2'-O-methylation of substrate RNAs. The record is from RNAcentral. Lineage: Eukaryota; Viridiplantae; Streptophyta; Magnoliopsida; Fabales; Fabaceae.
AAUCCAGUGAGGAGGAUCUCCCAUUAAUUGAUAGGAAGUGCCGUAUGACACUCUAAACAGCAGUUCCGUUUAAAUGAUCUCAUCCGCCGAUUAACAUAUUGUUGUUAUCGGCCGAGAUUGUUCUUUGCGGAACUGUGUGUGAGAUUUGAAACGGGUCUCCUGAGGAUU